GUCCAUGCCGUAAACGAUGUCAACUAGGUGUUGGGAACUUGUUUCCUUAGUGCCGCAGCUAACGCAUUAAGUUGACCGCCUGGGGAGUACGGUCGCAAGACUAAACUCAAAUGAAUUGACGGGGCCCGCACAAGCGGUGGAGCAUGUGGUUUAAUUCGAUGCAACGCGAAGAACCUUACCUACUCUUGACAUCCAGAGAAUCCUGUAGAGAUACGGGAGUGCCUUCGGGAAUUCUGAGACAGGUGCUGCAUGGCUGUCGU
Molecule: ribosomal RNA, 260 nt
Filed under: uncultured bacterium
Lineage: Bacteria
Description: partial 16S ribosomal RNA
Rfam family: Bacterial small subunit ribosomal RNA
Source: RNAcentral